UCCCUGGUGGCUCAGUGGUAAAGAACCUGCCUGACAAGGCAGGCAACACGGGUUUGAUUUCCGGUCUGGGGAA
Molecule: transfer RNA, 73 nt
Filed under: Bos taurus (domestic cattle)
Lineage: Eukaryota; Metazoa; Chordata; Mammalia; Artiodactyla; Bovidae
Also listed under: 5 other names
Rfam family: tRNA
About the family: Transfer RNA (tRNA) molecules are approximately 80 nucleotides in length.
Source: Rfam by way of RNAcentral